RNAcentral lists this ribosomal RNA (253 nucleotides) under uncultured bacterium. RNAcentral describes it as "partial 16S ribosomal RNA". It matches the Rfam family "Bacterial small subunit ribosomal RNA", at positions 524 to 776 of the family's 1533-position model. The record is from RNAcentral.
UACGUAGGGUGCGAGCGUUAAUCGGAAUUACUGGGCGUAAAGCGUGCGCAGGCGGUUCGUUAUGUCCGAUGUGAAAGCCCCGAGCUUAACUUGGGAAUGGCAUUGGAAACUGGCGGGCUGGAGUGCGGCAGAGGGGGGUGGAAUUCCACGUGUAGCAGUGAAAUGCGUAGAUAUCGGGAGGAAUACCGAUGGCGAAGGCAGGUCUCUGGGCUGACACUGACGCUCAUGCACGAAAGCGUGGGGAGCAAACAGG